UUAGUCUUAUAAUUUGAGACUGGAAUGAAAGAAUUAACUAAAAGAAAAAUUUUUUAUUAAUAUCUUAUAAAUUUUACUUUUUAGUAAAAAGGCUAAAAUUUUUCUUUUAGACAAGAAGACCCUAUAAAACUUUACAUUUUUAAAUAUAAAAAUGUAAAUAAUGUUUAACUGGGGCGGUUUAGAAUAAAAACAUUUUUUAAUCUAUAAAACUUAAAGGUUUAUAUAACUAGAAUUUCUAAAAUAAAAAUAAGUUACUUUAGGGAUAACAGCGUAAUUUAUUUUAAAAGAUCUUAUUGACAAAUAAGUUUGCGACCUCGAUGUUGGAUUAGAGAGUCUUGCCUAUGUAUAAGUAG
Molecule: ribosomal RNA, 353 nt
Filed under: Thaicharmus mahunkai
Lineage: Eukaryota; Metazoa; Arthropoda; Arachnida; Scorpiones; Buthidae
Description: partial large subunit ribosomal RNA
Rfam family: Archaeal large subunit ribosomal RNA (bases 115-353)
Source: RNAcentral